CAGCGUUGUGUUAAGUGUCAGGGGGCCACUGUGUCAGCAAGCUGACAGGGAAACUGAGGCAAGAUGUCGGGCCGGAGCGGGAAGAAGAAAAUGUCCAAGCUGUCCCGUUCAGCCAGGGCCGGUGUGAUCUUCCCAGUGGGGAGGCUGAUGCGGUACCUAAAGAAAGGGACGUUCAAGUACCGGAUCAGCGUGGGCGCUCCCGUCUACAUGGCGGCAGUCAUCGAGUACCUGGCAGCGGAAAUCCUAGAAUUGGCUGGGAAUGCUGCCAGGGACAACAAGAAGGCCCGGAUAGCCCCAAGACACAUCCUGCUGGCAGUUGCCAAUGACGAGGAGCUGAACCAGCUGCUGAAAGGAGUGACCAUCGCCAGCGGAGGCGUUCUGCCCAGAAUUCACCCCGAACUGCUGGCCAAAAAGCGAGGGACCAAAGGCAAGUCAGAAACGAUCCUCUCCCCACCCCCAGAGAAAAGAGGAAGGAAGGCCACGUCAGGCAAGAAGGGGGGCAAGAAAUCCAAGGCUGCCAAACCACGGACGUCCAAAAAGUCCAAACCAAAGGACAGCGAUAAAGAAGGAACUUCAAAUUCCACCUCUGAAGAUGGGCCAGGGGAUGGAUUCACCAUCCUGUCUUCUAAGAGCCUUGUUCUAGGGCAGAAGCUGUCCUUGACCCAGAGUGACAUCAGCCAUAUUGGCUCCAUGAGAGUAGAGGGCAUCGUCCACCCAACCACAGCCGAAAUCGACCUCAAGGAAGACAUAGGUAAGGCCUUGGAAAAGGCUGGGGGGAAAGAGUUCUUGGAAACUGUAAAGGAGCUUCGCAAAUCCCAAGGUCCUUUGGAAGUUGCUGAAGCCGCCGUCAGCCAAUCCAGUGGACUUGCAGCCAAAUUUGUCAUCCACUGUCACAUCCCUCAGUGGGGCUCCGACAAAUGUGAAGAACAGCUUGAAGAGACCAUCAAAAACUGCCUGUCGGCGGCAGAGGACAAAAAGCUCAAGUCCGUCGCGUUCCCUCCUUUCCCCAGUGGCAGAAACUGCUUUCCCAAACAGACGGCAGCCCAGGUGACCCUCAAAGCAAUCUCGUCCCACUUCGACGACUCGAGUGCAUCCUCGCUGAAGAACGUGUACUUCCUGCUCUUUGACAGCGAGAGCAUCGGCAUCUACGUGCAGGAGAUGGCCAAGCUCGACACCAAGUAGCUGCUGCGCCCCCCCAGCAGGGACCACCGGAGGAUUAGAGUCACCAGAGUGGGGUUUUAUUUUUUAAAAGGAGAGAGGAAGGGUGCGGCAGGGGAGUUGCAGGGGCUGGAAGGGCAGCAGGCGGUGGAGGCAGCGGGAGCGGGUGCUGCCCGGAAGGAGCCCUCUGCGUUUGCUCCUCGGAAAGAGCCUCAGUCGUAAUUAACCAGGUCUCCACGCAGGGGUUCUUUCCAUGUGUCCUUCCUGUUGUUUUAGAACUUUUUAAAAAAAAACAGACCUCGUUUUAGAUUUAUAGCAUUGACUUUUACACACACUCACAAAAAAAUCCUUUCAAAAUCCUUAAAUCUUCUGUUCCUCCUUUUUCCAAGGGAAAAGGACAUAAAAGUGACUCGGGCUUUGUUGGUUGUCUGCAUCCCAUGGAGAGAAGAAAAUGGGAAAGACAUUUCACUGGUGCUUUUCUCUUUUGUUUAGUGCCCCCCACCCCCACCCCCAUAAUAUCUGUAACUACUCCUCAAGAGUUUUUGCUUCAGGCUUUUUUUUGUUUCAUUUUGUUUUUUAAAGAAAAAAAAAAUGAAAGGAAAAAAUAAAA
Molecule: RNA transcript, 1768 nt
Organism: Galeopterus variegatus (Sunda flying lemur)
Lineage: Eukaryota; Metazoa; Chordata; Mammalia; Dermoptera; Cynocephalidae
Gene name: core histone macro-H2A.2
Exons: 9
Source: RefSeq, a predicted model, not a curated record